Molecule: unclassified non-coding RNA, 123 nt
Organism: Dipodomys ordii (Ord's kangaroo rat)
Lineage: Eukaryota; Metazoa; Chordata; Mammalia; Rodentia; Heteromyidae
Product: predicted gene, 27849
Source: Ensembl
UGAUCUCCCGGCGCCAUCGGUCCUCUUGGCCUCCUAGGCCUGGCCGCCAUACGUCGGCCCGCCAACUGCUUCCAACCACCCAAGCAACCCAACCUUUUGGGCGUUCCAACGCGGCGCCCCCUA